AAAGUCUGCGAAGCUACACCGAAAGGAGUAGUGGAGAUAUCACAAGUGAGAAUGCCGGAAUGAGUAGCGAGAAUUAUGUGAGAAUCAUAAUGGUCGAAAAUCUAAGGUUUCUUGAGGAAGGUUCGUCCGCUCAAGGUAAGCCGGGAGCUAAGGCGAGGCCUAGAGGCGUAGUCGAUGCACAUACGGUAAAGACUCCGUAGCCACCGAAGUCGUUAAAUACAGGGACACAGGAACAUAGCCCAUCCCCACCGUUGGUUGAGUGGGGCGUAAGGGAGCGAAAAUUAGUAGCGAAGUGGGUGAUUGUACACUGGCGAGAAAAGCUGUAUGAAUUGACCAGGUGCCCGUACCGCAAACCGACACAGGUAGAUGAGGAGAGAAUCCUAAGACCAGCGGGAGGAGUGUUGUUAAGGAACUUGGCAAAAUGACCCCGUAACUUCGGGAUAAGGGGAGCCUACGCGAGUAGGUCGCAGAGAAUAGUCUCAAGCGACUGUUUAGCAAAAACACAGGUCUAUGCUAAAUCGAAAGAUGAUGUAUAUGGGCUGACGCCUGCCCGGUGCUGGAAGGUUAAGGGGAAGUGUUAGAGCAAUCGAAGCACUGAACUUAAGCCCCAGUAAACGGCGGCCGUAACAAUAACGGUCCUAAGGUAGCGAAAUUCCUUGUCAGGUAAGUUCUGACCCGCACGAAUGGCGUAACGACUUGAGAGCUGUCUCAACAACAUACCCGGCGAAAUUGAAGUACUGGUAAAGAUGCCAGUUACCCGUGAUAAGACGGAAAGACCCCAUGGAGCUUUACUGUAACUUGAUAUUGAAUUUUUGUAUUACAUGUACAGGAUAGGUGGGAGACAGAGAACUAAUGCCGCCAGGUGUUAGGGAGUCGAUGUUGGGAUACCACUCUUGUAAUAUGAAGGUUCUAACCUGCACCCGUGAAUCCGGGUGGGGGACACUGUCAGGUGGACAGUUUGACUGGGGCGGUCGCCUCCUAAAAGGUAACGGAGGCGUUCAAAGGUUGGUUCAGCACGGACGGAAAUCGUGCAACGAGUGCAAACGCAUAAACCAGCCUAACUGCGAGACCGACAAGUCGAGCAGUAACGAAAGUUGGAGUUAGUGAUCCGGCGGUAUGAGAGUGGAAUUGCCGUCGCUCAACGGAUAAAAGCUACCCUGGGGAUAACAGGCUGAUCUCCCCCAAGAGUCCACAUCGAGGGGGAGGUUUGGCACCUCGAUGUCGGCUCAUCGCAUCCUGGAGCUGUAGUCGGUUCCAAGGGUUGGGCUGUUCGCCCAUUAAAGCGGUACGCGAGCUGGGUUCAGAACGUCGCGAGACAGUUCGGUCCCUAUCUAUCACGGGCGUAGGAAAUUUGAGGAGAGCUGACCUUAGUACGAGAGGACCGGGUUGGACGUACCGCUGGUGCACCUGUUGUUCUGCCAAGGGCAUAGCAGGGUAGCUAAGUACGGACGGGAUAAACGCUGAAGGCAUCUAAGCGUGAAGCCCCCUUCGAGAUAAGAUUUCCCAUAGCGUAGGCUAGUAAGGACCCAUGAAGACUACAUGGUUGAUAGGCCGGAGGUGGAAGUGCAGUAAUGUAUGUAGCUGACCGGUACUAAUAGUCCGAGGGCUUGACC
RNAcentral lists this ribosomal RNA (1613 nucleotides) under metagenome. RNAcentral's name for it is "bacterial LSU rRNA". It matches the Rfam family "Bacterial large subunit ribosomal RNA", at positions 1243 to 2925 of the family's 2925-position model. The record is from RNAcentral.